CCUACGGGUGGCAGCAGUGAGGAAUAUUGGUCAAUGGACGAGAGUCUGAACCAGCCAAGUAGCGUGAAGGAUGACUGCCCUAUGGGUUGUAAACUUCUUUUAUAUGGGAAUAAAAUGUUCCACGUGUGGGAUUUUGUAUGUACCAUAUGAAUAAGGAUCGGCUAACUCCGUGCCAGCAGCCGCGGUAAUACGGAGGAUCCGAGCGUUAUCCGGGUUUAUUGGGUUUAAAGGGAGCGUAGGUGGAUUGUUAAGUCAGUUGUGAAAGUUUGCGGCUCAACCGUAAAAUUGCAGUUGAAACUGGCAGUCUUGAGUACAGUAGAGGUGGGCGGAAUUCGUGGUGUAGCGGUGAAAUGCUUAGAUAUCACGAAGAACUCCGAUUGCGAAGGCAGUUCACUGGACUGCAACUGACACUGAGGCUCGAAAGUGUGGGUAUCAAACAGGAUUAGAUACCCGUGUAGUC
RNAcentral lists this ribosomal RNA (460 nucleotides) under uncultured bacterium. RNAcentral describes it as "partial 16S ribosomal RNA". It matches the Rfam family "Bacterial small subunit ribosomal RNA", at positions 338 to 795 of the family's 1533-position model. The record is from RNAcentral.